AUGAAAACAAAAAAAUAUUGAUUUCUAACCCGUUGUUUAAAGAUUGACAAGGAAGACCCCUCCAAAAUCAACUGCAAAAAAAACAAAAAAAAAAUUAUCAACUGCAAUGACCCUAUUACGAGCAGCUUUCGAUAUUGUGUAUAAGGAAGAAAGAUGAGCAUUUAAGAGAGAGAGAGAAGAGUGAUUUUAACAUUUGAAAGCGGCAGAGACUUCGACAUUUGGAUGCCUAGAAGCGUACUUGGAGUAGAGUUGAAUUCUAAUAGAAUAUUCAAGGUGGAGAAGAACUAUCAAUAAUUCAGGAAAUUGAAAUGAUUUAGCAAGAUGCUGCUUGAUUCGUUCUGUAGCCUUUUGAUUCUUUUACAAUUCAAGUGAACUAAAUUAAAAGUUUAAUCAAGAUGGGGUGCCUCAAUCAGCAGAGUGAAGUCAAUACUCCAUUUUCAGAACCCAAUGCUUGCACUGUAAAGCCUUCCAAAGGUGCCUUAGCAUGUAUGGUAAAUUCAGAAAUUGGUGCUGUUUUGGCCGUUAUGAGGAGAAAUGUAAGGUGGGGGUUCCGUUAUGCUGCUGCUGAUGAUCAGCUAGAGCAUCCUCUCAUACAUUCUUUCAAGGAAUUACGGAAAAGUGUCUUCUCAUGGAAACAUCACUGGAACAGAGUUGAUCCACUCCUAUAUCUUCAGCCUUUCUUGGAUGUGAUUCAAUCUGAUGAAACUGGUGCACCAAUAACCGGUGUUGCACUGUCUUCUGUUUACAAAUUCUUAACCCUUGAAAUAAUUGAUUCAUCUAUCAUGAAUGUGGAGAAAGCUUUAUAUCAGAUAGUUGAGACCGUGACAAGUUGCCGCUUUGAAGUGACUGAUCCUGCCUCUGAGGAAGUGGUACUGAUGAAGAUACUUCAGGUUCUUUUGGCUUGCAUGAAAAGUAAGGCAUCAGAAAAUUUAAGUAAUCAUCACGUGUGCAACAUUGUAAACACUUGCUUUCGGCUUGUUCAUCAAGCUAGUGCCAAAAGUGAACUGCUGCAGAGAAUAGCAAGACACACAAUGCAUGAAUUGGUGAGACACAUUUUCGCUCACCUGCCUAACAUUAUCAGCAAAGCGCAUGAAUUUGAUCAGCAAAGCAGAUUGUGUGCUGACUCAGAGGCAGGCGAAAAACAACAUGUCAAUGGUUGUGUUAGUGCAGAAUCCACUGGUAAGUCAGCACCAGCUGCAGUUCCUUCCAAUGCAUCAGACAAGAGGGAUGGAACAACAGAUGAAAAAACUCAAAAAGAGGAGAUUGCUAGUAAUAGAGAAAACCCUAUGAUGGAUCCAUAUGGGGUCCCCUGCAUGGUGGAGAUAUUUCAUUUCCUGUGUUCUCUUCUGAAUGUGAUGGAGUCCAUUGAAAUUGGUUCCAGAUCCAACCCUAUAGCAUAUGAUGAAGAUGUUCCCUUGUUUGCACUGGGGUUAAUUAAUUCAGCCAUAGAAGUAAGUGGUGCUUCAUCUGGGAAUCAUCCUGAGUUAUUGGCUCUGAUACAGAAAGACUUGUUCCACAAUCUGAUGCGUUUUGGCUUGUCUAUGAGUCCUUUAAUUCUUUCAACAGUUUGUAGCAUUGUUCUAAAUUUGUAUCAUCAUAUGCGUAUUAAGUUAAAGCUACAGCUUGGAACUUUCUUCUCUGGUGUGUUACUGAGGAUUGCCCAAAGCAAGCAUGGAACUUAUUAUCAACAACAAGAGGUUGCCAUAGAAACUCUUGUUGACUUCUGCAGACAGCCCAUGUUCAUGCCUGAGAUGUAUGCAAAUUUUGAUUGUGACAUAUCUUGCAGCAAUGUAUUUGAAGACCUUGCAAACCUGUUAUCCAAGAGUUCCUUUCCGGUCAACAUCCCACUAUCAGCUUUAAAUACGCUCGCCUUAGAUGGUCUAAUUGCCAUGAUGCAGGGAAUGGCCGAGAGAAUUAGCCAGGAUUCAUUUGUUUCUGAUCAAGCUUCAAUAGAUCCGGGUGAAUAUAGAUCGUUUUGGACAGAGAUAUGCAAGGACUACAGUGAUCCUAAUCAUUGGGUUCCAUAUCUUCGUAAGAUGAAGGUCAUAAAGAGGAAAUUGUUGAUUGGAGUUGAUCACUUUAACCGAGAUCCAAAAAAGGGUAUGGAUUUUCUCCAAGGAGUGCAUUUGUUACCUGAGAAACGUGACCCAAAAAGUGUAGCAUGCUUUUUCAGGUAUACGACUGGCUUAGAUAAGAAUCUUAUCGGGGAUUUCCUAGGAAGUCAUGAAGACUUCUAUAUUGAAGUGCUUCACGAAUUUGCAGGAACAUUUGAUUUUCGGGACAUGAACUUAGACAUAGCCUUGCGAAUCUUUUUAGAAACCUUCAGAUUGCCUGGAGAGUCUCAGAAAAUACAGAGGGUGCUUGAGGCAUUUGCUGAGCGAUAUUACGAGCAGUCGCAAAAUAUUCUGGCUGACAAAGAUGCUGCACUAUUGUUGUCAUAUUCAAUUAUUAUGCUCAACACAGAUCAACACAAUGCCCAGGUAAAAAAGAAGAUGACGGAGGAAGAUUUCAUCCGGAACAACCGGAGGAUAAACGGAGGAAAUGACCUCCCUCGGGAAUUUUUGUCCGAGCUUUACCGCUCCAUUUGUGAGGAUGAGAUCCGAAUUACCCCAGAUCGAGGUGCUGGUAUUCCAAUGAUGGCACCAAGCCAUUGGAUUGGUCUAGUUCAUAAAUCAAGGCAAACUUCCCCAUAUAUUAUCUGUGAUCCUGGUCCAUAUCUUGAUUAUGAUAUGUUUGCUAUGUUGUCUGGUCCUGCAAUUGCUUCCAUAUCUGUGGUUUUUGAUAAUGUGGAGCAAGAGGAUGUUUGGGAAACAUGUAUCAGUGGAUUCCUUGCCAUUGCCAGAAUUGCAGCUGCCUAUAGCUUCGAUGAUGUGUUAAAUGAUUUAGUAGUAUCUCUUUGCAAGUUCACUACCCUUUUGCUUCCAUCUUAUGUUGAUGAAUUUACUGUUGCAUUUGCGGAAGAUGGUAAAGCUAGAUUGGCCACAUUAGCAGUCUUUACAUUAGCGAACGAAUAUGGAGAUCACAUUCGCUUUGGUUGGAAGAACAUCCUAGACUGCAUUUUGUGUUUGCACAAAUUGGGCCUUCUCCCCACACGUCUAUUUAGUGAUGCUGCUGAUGACUUGGAGUCUACUGGUGAUGCAGACCCUAGGAGACCUACUGCACUUUUUCCAUCACCAUCUCGUUUUCCUUCAUCGGCUCCAUCAAGAAAAUCAUCUGGCUUAAUGGGGGUGUUUAGCCAACUAUUAUAUCUUGAUGAAGAACCUGCACCACAGCCAAAUGAACAACAGCUUGCCGCACGUCAGCAGACUCUUCAGACAAUUCAGAGCUGUCACAUUGAUAGCAUCUUUGCCGAGAGUAAAUUUUUGCAAGCUGAGUCCCUGUUACAGCUUGUUCGGGCCGUUGUGUUGGCUGCAGGCAAGCCUCGCAAAAGAAACAAUUCUCUGGAAGACGAAGAGACUGCAGUAUUUUGUCUAGAGUUGCUUAUUGCUAUCACAAUAAAUAACCGUGACAGAAUAAUGCUUCUUUGGCAGGUCGUCUAUGACCACAUAGCAAGUGUUGUCCAUUUAACAACAAUGCCAUCUACUUUGGUAGAGAAGGCUGUGUUUGGUCUGCUUCGCAUAUGCCAAAGGUUACUUCCGUACAAGGAAAAUCUCACAGAUGAGCUUCUCAAGUCUCUGCAACUUAUCUUAAAGCUUGAUGCUCGGGUUGCUGAUGCAUUUCUUGAACAGAUAACCCGGGAGGUUAUGCACCUUGUCAAAGCAAAUGCUAUGCAGAUACGAUCUCAUAUAGGCUGGCGGACAAUCAUAUCUCUGCUUUCUUUUACUGCUCGGCAUCCCGAAGCAUCUGAAACAGGUUUUGAUACACUAGUGUUCAUCAUGGCAGAUGGGGCCCACCUCUUGCCUGCUAAUUAUGUUCUCUGUUUGAAUGUGGCGGCGCAGUUUGCUGAUUCUCAUGUUGGGAAUGUUGAUCAAUCUGUGAGAUCUUUAGACCUGAUGGCUGGAUCACUUAUCUCUCUUAUUAGAUGGUCUCACCAGGCGAAGGAAGCACUUGGGCAGGAGGCUGCUGUAAAAAUGACCCAGGAUAUAACAGAAAUGUGGCUCAGGCUGAUACAGGGACUGCGUAAAUUUUGUAAAGACAGGAGAGAAGAGGUAAGGGAUCAUGCCAUCUUGAUGCUGCAGAUGUGCUUGACUGGAGUUGAUGGGAUCCAUAUCCCUGAAGAUUUGUGGUUGCAAUGUUUUGAUCAGGUGAUAUUUACAUUACUAGAUGAAUUACUCAAUCUUGCCCAGUCGAGCUUUGUGAAGGAUUAUAGGAGCACUGAAGGAGCAAUAGUUUUGGCACUGAAGCUCAUGUUCAAAAUGUUUUUACAGUCUUUGAAUCAUCUCUCCCAGUCGACAUCCUUCUGCAAACUGUGGUUAGGGGUCUUGAGUCUAACAGAGAGAUGCAUGAAGGUGAAAUUUAAAGGGAAACGGAGUGAAAAGAUCCCUGAACUCAUUUCCGAGCUCCUAAAGAACACUCUACUUGUCAUGAAAACAAGUGGAAUUCUGGGGCCAAGUAAUCCUGUAGGAGGGGACAGCUUCUGGAAGUCAACAUGGUUGCAUGUCCACAAAAUAUGCCCAUCCCUUCAGACAGAAAUCUUUCCCACAAACGAAGCAGAACAGUCGGAAAAACAGCAUAUCCAAGAAGGUUGUAGUCCUCUGGCAGAGGGAAAUGUUAUCAUCUCAUCUGGUAAUAGCACAGCUUGAAGACGAAGUUCCCAUCGGGCAGGUCUUUGUACAGUGAAAGUGACAUAUUCUGCGUCAGCACUAUCAUUAGCGUAAGCAGAUGAUGAAUUUUGCAGCUGAGAACCAGUUAAGCUUUAUAGAAGCAGCAUUUGGGAGCAAAUCUGAAUUCAGCUUCUACGCGACAAUGGUGAAGAUCAUGGUGGCGAGGAUAAAAUUGCUGAGAAACAAGGAGGUGGUUGUCAGGCAAUUGAUGAGAUACAGACAUUGGGCUUAAAUUUUGGUUGCAAGCAAUGGCUGUGAAUCCAUCGGGGUUGGAGAAUUGAAUGCUGGAGCGGCCAAACUUGUGUUAUUACUCAAAUUAUUGUGAAAGGUUAGAGAGACUUCAUUAGGUUAUUGCAGAAAAUUCAAUAUUCCAAGCUAAAGCGGAACUUGAAGAUAUUUACUGUCACUGUACUCUGAUCAAACUAAAAGGUCACAGGUUUAGUGCUGUAGAGUGGUGCUAAUGCUUUCCAUCUUUUGAUGUCAUGCGCUGGUACUGUUUUGUCACACAGAAUAGUUGAUUUGUCUUGGUUCUAAUUUCAUCAUUUGUUUUUCCUCCUUAUGCUAAUUGCUCUUUGGGUAUUUGAACAAUCUGACCGUUUGUAUUCAGGGAUUGUGGUUCUUGUUGGGCUUUUGGUGCUGCUGAGUCGUUGUCUGAUUGUUUCUGAUUCUUAAAUAAAUUCAUUCCUUCAUGCAAAGACUUGCAAGUUUAUUCUAGUUAUGGUCACUAAUGAUUCAAUUUUUAUAUGUGAGGCAGAAUAUCUCUAUGUGUCAGCAAAUGAUAUCGUAGCAUGCAUAUAUUGUAGGAUAUUUAUACCCAUUUUAAAAAAAAGAUAACUAUUAUGCUCGACUAAUAAAAAUUUUCCUGUCAGUGUGACCCUUAGUUUGAUAAAAAGGGAUAUACCCUGGAUAUCAAUUCCGCCGCAGUUCAAGAGGAAGUGUGUUAACAAGAAUCUACUCCGGAGUAAGUCCGAGCAUUUUUACGUCAAUGCUUUCCUGAACGUGGAACUUGAUGUCUGUGAUGCUUUCCUCGACGCCUCAAUGUGAUUACUAAUUCUUCAAGUAAAACACUAAUUAAAUAGGAUUCAAGUUUCUGAAGAUUUGGGGAAUAAUAACAUUUUAAAGCUUCAUAUUCUUUCCCUCCUAAGUUAGCCGCAACAUUUGUAAUCUGCAACUGUUCCACAAUCUUAAUGAGAGUAAAAGUACUCUUGCCUA
Solanum pennellii is the source of this 5975-nucleotide RNA transcript. It is a transcript of the gene named ARF guanine-nucleotide exchange factor GNOM-like, with no coding region annotated. The transcript is spliced from 8 exons. The record is from RefSeq and is a predicted model, not a curated record. NCBI's taxonomy places the organism in Eukaryota, Viridiplantae, Streptophyta, Magnoliopsida, Solanales, Solanaceae.